UGGCUUCCGUAGUGACCUGCGGAAGGUCAUUAAGAGACGUUGCCCUUCGGGGUAUACCUCCCACCCAUUGUUUAUUAUACCUUUGUUGCUUUGGCAGACCCGGCUUCGGCCCACCGGCUCCGGCUGGUCAGUGUCUGCCAGAGGACCUAAAACUCUGUUUGUUAAUAUUGUCUGAGUACUAUAUAAUAGUUAAAACUUUCAACAACGGAUCUCUUGGUUCUGGCAUCGAUGAAGAACGCAGCGAAAUGCGAUAAGUAGUGUGAAUUGCAGAAUUCAGUGAAUCAUCGAAUCUUUUGAACGCACAUUGCGCCCCUUUGGGUAUUCCUUAGGGCAUUGCCUUGUUCGAGCGUCAUUUUGAACCCCUCAAGCUCAGCUUGGGUGUUGGGUGGUCUGUCCCCGCCCCGCGGGGACUCGCCUCAAAAACAUUGGCGGCCGGUACGUUGGCUUCGAGCGCAGCAGAAAACGCGAACUCGGGGCCCGACGUAGCGGCGACCACAAGUCUAUUCAUCACUUUGACCUCGGAUCAGGUAGGGAUACCCGCUGAACUUAAGCAUAUCAAUAAGCGGAGGA
This 570-nucleotide ribosomal RNA is filed under the name uncultured Pleosporales. RNAcentral's name for it is "eukaryotic LSU rRNA". The stretch from base 194 to 352 matches the Rfam family "5.8S ribosomal RNA". The record is from RNAcentral. Lineage: Eukaryota; Fungi; Ascomycota; Dothideomycetes; Pleosporales.